GAUGAACGCUGGCGGCGUGCCUCAAACAUGCAAGUCGAGCGGGGCUAUGUAAUAUCGCAAGGUAGAACAUAGCCUAGCGGCGAACGGGUGAGUAACACGUGGGUAACCUGCCUGGAAGACAGGGAUAACGAUUCGAAAGGGUCGCUAAUACCUGAUAAUAUCCUUUCAUCGCAUGGUGAUAGGAAGAAAGGGGAAACCCGCUUUCAGAUGGGCCCGCGUCCCAUCAGCUAGUUGGUAAGGUAAAGGCUUACCAAGGCGACGACGGGUAGCCGGUCUGAGAGGAUGUACGGCCACACUGGGACUGAGAUACGGCCCAGACUCCUACGGGAGGCAGCAGUUGGGAAUCUUAGGCAAUGGACGAAGUCUGACCUAGCGACGCCGCGUGAGGGAAGAAGGCCUUCGGGUUGUAAACCUCUGUCAGUGGGGAAGAGUAAGUGACGGUACCCAAGAGGAAGCCCCUGCUAACUACGUG
RNAcentral lists this ribosomal RNA (472 nucleotides) under uncultured bacterium. RNAcentral's name for it is "bacterial SSU rRNA". It matches the Rfam family "Bacterial small subunit ribosomal RNA", at positions 28 to 507 of the family's 1533-position model. The record is from RNAcentral.